Molecule: ribosomal RNA, 994 nt
Filed under: Simenchelys parasitica (snubnosed eel)
Lineage: Eukaryota; Metazoa; Chordata; Actinopteri; Anguilliformes; Synaphobranchidae
Description: partial 16S ribosomal RNA
Rfam family: Bacterial large subunit ribosomal RNA
Source: RNAcentral
UAGGAAAGAUUAUGCUAAAAUGAGUAAUAAGAAGAUACAUUAGAUCUUCUCCCAGCACAAGUGUAAGUUAGAUCGGACAAACCACUGACAACUAACGAACCCAAAAUAUGAGGGAAAUACAAUAACCUAAAAUAAACAAGAAAACCCUGUAAUAAACUAAAUCGUUAACCCAACACAGGAGUGCAAUAAAGGAAAGACUAAAAGGAGAAGAAGGAACUCGGCAAACACAAACCCCGCCUGUUUACCAAAAACAUCGCCUCUUGCCAAUAAUUGAAGUAUUAGAGGUCCCGCCUGCCCUGUGACCAAAGUGUUUAACGGCCGCGGUAUCCUGACCGUGCGAAGGUAGCGUAAUCAUUUGUCUUUUAAAUGAAGACCAGUAUGAAUGGCAUAACGAGGGUUUAACUGUCUCCUCCUCCCAGUCAAUGAAAUUGAUCUGCCCGUGCAGAAGCGGACAUAUAAACAUAAGACGAGAAGACCCUAUGGAGCUUUAGGCAAGAGUCACACAUGUACAGAAACCCGAAACAAUUAACAAAAUAUAAAGGGUUAACCUAAACUAAAUGUAAAAUGACUUAAAUGCCUUCGGUUGGGGCGACCAUGGAGGAAAAUAAAGCCUCCACAUGGAAUGGGGUAAUCCCCUAAACCAAGAAAGACAUUUCUAAGUAACAGAACAUCUGACCAAAUAUGACCCAGGAUUAUAUCCUGAUCAAUGAACCAAGUUACCCUAGGGAUAACAGCGCAAUCCUUUCCCAGAGUCCAUAUCGACGAAAGGGUUUACGACCUCGAUGUUGGAUCAGGACAUCCUAAUAGUGCAGCCGCUAUUAAGGGUUCGUUUGUUCAACGAUUAACAGUCCUACGUGAUCUGAGUUCAGACCGGAGUAAUCCAGGUCGGUUUCUAUCUAUGAAAUUACUUUUUCCCAGUACGAAAGGACCGGAAUAAAGGGGGCCUAUACUGAAAGCAAGCCCCACCUCUACCUGCUGAAAACAAAUAAAACAG